CCUGGCUCAGAUUGAACGCUGGCGGCAGGCCUAACACAUGCAAGUCGAGCGGAUGAAGGGAGCUUGCUCCUGGAUUCAGCGGCGGACGGGUGAGUAAUGCCUAGGAAUCUGCCUGGUAGUGGGGGAUAACGUCCGGAAACGGGCGCUAAUACCGCAUACGUCCUGAGGGAGAAAGUGGGGGAUCUUCGGACCUCACGCUAUCAGAUGAGCCUAGGUCGGAUUAGCUAGUUGGUGGGGUAAAGGCCUACCAAGGCGACGAUCCGUAACUGGUCUGAGAGGAUGAUCAGUCACACUGGAACUGAGACACGGUCCAGACUCCUACGGGAGGCAGCAGUGGGGAAUAUUGGACAAUGGGCGAAAGCCUGACCAGCCAUGCCGCGUGUG
This 384-nucleotide ribosomal RNA is filed under the name Pseudomonas aeruginosa. RNAcentral's name for it is "bacterial SSU rRNA". It matches the Rfam family "Bacterial small subunit ribosomal RNA", at positions 18 to 405 of the family's 1533-position model. The record is from RNAcentral. Lineage: Bacteria; Pseudomonadati; Pseudomonadota; Gammaproteobacteria; Pseudomonadales; Pseudomonadaceae.